GAGCCUACCAUGCAUCGAGCGGUAGAGAGAAGCUUGCUUCUCUUGAGAGCGGCGGACGGGUGAGUAAUGCCUAGGAAUCUGCCUGGUAGUGGGGGAUAACGUUCGGAAACGGACGCUAAUACCGCAUACGUCCUACGGGAGAAAGCAGGGGACCUUCGGGCCUUGCGCUAUCAGAUGAGCCUAGGUCGGAUUAGCUAGUUGGUGAGGUAAUGGCUCACCAAGGCAACGAUCCGUAACUGGUCUGAGAGGAUGAUCAGUCACACUGGAACUGAGACACGGUCCAGACUCCUACGGGAGGCAGCAGUGGGGAAUAUUGGACAAUGGGCGAAAGCCUGAUCCAGCCAUGCCGCGUGUGUGAAGAAGGUCUUCGGAUUGUAAAGCACUUUAAGUUGGGAGGAAGGGCAGUUACCUAAUACGUGAUUGUUUUGACGUUACCGACAGAAUAAGCACCGGCUAACUCUGUGCCAGCAGCCGCGGUAAUACAGAGGGUGCAAGCGUUAAUCGGAAUUACUGGGCGUAAAGCGCGCGUAGGUGGUUAGUUAAGUUGGAUGUGAAAUCCCCGGGCUCAACCUGGGAACUGCAUUCAAAACUGACUGACUAGAGUAUGGUAGAGGGUGGUGGAAUUUCCUGUGUAGCGGUGAAAUGCGUAGAUAUAGGAAGGAACACCAGUGGCGAAGGCGACCACCUGGACUGAUACUGACACUGAGGGGCGAAAGCGUGGGGAGCAAACAGGAUUAGAUACCCCUGGUAGUCCACGCCGUAAACGAUGUCAAACUAGCCGUUGGGAGCCUUGAAGCUCUUAAGUGGCGCAGCUAACCGCAUUAAGUUGACCGCCCUGGGGGAGUACGGGCCGCAAGGUUAAAACUCCAAAUGAAUUGGACGGGGGCCCGCCACAACCGGG
Molecule: ribosomal RNA, 901 nt
Filed under: Pseudomonas kairouanensis
Lineage: Bacteria; Pseudomonadati; Pseudomonadota; Gammaproteobacteria; Pseudomonadales; Pseudomonadaceae
Description: bacterial SSU rRNA
Rfam family: Bacterial small subunit ribosomal RNA
Source: RNAcentral